GCAUAUCAAUAAGCGGAGGAAAAGAAACUAACAAGGAUUCCCCUAGUAACUGCGAGUGAAGCGGGAAAAGCUCAAGCUUAAAAUCUACAAGUAAUAAACCACUUGUCGAGUUGUAGCUUAUGGAGGCAGUUAUCGACUCUACAACAUAGUAAAAGUCCCUUUGAAUAGGGCAUCAAAGAGGGUGAAAAUCCCGUAUUUGUACUGUGUUAACAAGUAGGGAAAUGUGAACUGUUUUCUUUGAGUCGGGUUGUUUGGGAAUGCAGCCCUAAUUAGGAGGUAAAUUUCUUCUAAAGCUAAAUAUAAGCAAGAGACCGAUAGCAAACAAGUACCGUGAGGGAAAGAUGAAAAGCACUUUGAAAAGAGAGUGAAAAGUACGUGAAAUUGUUGAAAGGGAACCAGUUGGUAGCCAAGCUUCAUAUUCAAAGUAUUUAUAUUUUGUUCAUGAGGUCAACAUCGGUUGUUAAAUAACUGCCUGAAGGGAAAAGUUGUGGGUUAGCGAAGUAAGGUAGGGUGAUUGGUUUGUUAUUCAUUCGUGGGUAGCAUAUUCCGCCAAUUAUCUGUUAUAGACUUCAUGAAUCUACUUUUUUAAGCUCAGAGGUGGUGACGACCGAGGAUCGCAGUGUUUUUUUUUUUUAAUUUUAUUCUUUGCAAAAGGAGUAAGAAAGAAAAAAAUAGGGGGAGACUUAAGAGGGUAACUGUUUUUUUGGGAUUUAUAGACAGCUUGCUGACUAUAUUAGCAAAAAGAUGUAUCUAAUCUUUAAUUUCUACUAAGAAGCACUUGGGAUGUUGGCGAAAAGGCACCAAUUGACCCGUCUUGAAACACGGACC
RNAcentral lists this ribosomal RNA (828 nucleotides) under Bojamyces repens. Its description in RNAcentral is "partial 28S ribosomal RNA". It matches the Rfam family "Eukaryotic large subunit ribosomal RNA", at positions 38 to 667 of the family's 3401-position model. The record is from RNAcentral. Lineage: Eukaryota; Fungi; Kickxellomycota; Harpellomycetes; Harpellales; Legeriomycetaceae.